Molecule: small RNA, 132 nt
Filed under: Salmonella enterica subsp. enterica serovar Infantis
Lineage: Bacteria; Pseudomonadati; Pseudomonadota; Gammaproteobacteria; Enterobacterales; Enterobacteriaceae
Also listed under: 92 other names
Description: RtT sRNA
Rfam family: RtT RNA
About the family: This family represents a bacterial cis-regulatory element known as RtT RNA. The exact function of RtT is unknown although it is thought that it may be involved in changing the cellular response in relation to amino acid starvation.
Source: RNAcentral
AUAUCUCUCUGUACGGGAAGGAUGAGAAGCUUCGACUAAGGUUCGAUUCGAGCGAAAGCGAGAAAGCGUUGCCGCAGGCAACGACCCGAAGGGCGAAGCGCGCAGCGCUGAGUCAUCCUUCCCCCACCACCA